Molecule: ribosomal RNA, 425 nt
Filed under: uncultured bacterium
Lineage: Bacteria
Description: partial 16S ribosomal RNA
Rfam family: Bacterial small subunit ribosomal RNA
Source: RNAcentral
GUGGGGAAUAUUGGGCAAUGGGCGAAAGCCUGACCCAGCAACGCCGCGUGAAGGAAGAAGGUCUUCGGAUCGUAAACUUCUAUCCUUGGUGAAGAUAAUGACGGUAGCCGAGAAGGAAGCCCCGGCUAACUACGUGCCAGCAGCCGCGGUAAUACGUAGGGGGCAAGCGUUGUCCGGAAUGAUUGGGCGUAAAGGGCGCGUAGGCGGCCUGGUAAGUCUGGAGUGAAAGUCCUGCUUUUAAGGUGGGAAUUGCUUUGGAUACUGUCGGGCUUGAGUGCAGGAGAGGUAAGUGGAAUUCCCGGUGUAGCGGUGAAAUGCGUAGAGAUCGGGGGGAACACCAGUGGCGAAGGCGACUUACUGGACUGUAACUGACGCUGAGGCGCGAAAGUGUGGGGAGCAAACAGGAUUAGAUACCCCUGUAGUCC